This 433-nucleotide ribosomal RNA is filed under the name uncultured bacterium. RNAcentral describes it as "partial 16S ribosomal RNA". It matches the Rfam family "Bacterial small subunit ribosomal RNA", at positions 29 to 507 of the family's 1533-position model. The record is from RNAcentral.
AGCGUACGCUGGCGGCAGGCUUAACACAUGCAAGUCGAGCGGGCCUUUCGGGGUCAGCGGCGGACGGGUGAGUAACGCGUGGGAACGUGCCCUCUGGUUCGGAAUAACUCAGGGAAACUUGAGCUAAUACCGGAUACGCCCUUUUGGGGAAAGGCUUGCUGCCGGAGGAUCGGCCCGCGUCUGAUUAGCUAGUUGGUGAGGUAACGGCUCACCAAGGCGACGAUCAGUAGCUGGUCUGAGAGGAUGAUCAGCCACACUGGGACUGAGACACGGCCCAGACUCCUACGGGAGGCAGCAGUGGGGAAUAUUGGACAAUGGGCGCAAGCCUGAUCCAGCCAUGCCGCGUGAGUGAUGAAGGCCUUAGGGUUGUAAAGCUCUUUUAUCCGGGACGAUAAUGACGGUACCGGAGGAAUAAGCCCCGGCUAACUUCGUG